Molecule: ribosomal RNA, 454 nt
Filed under: uncultured bacterium
Lineage: Bacteria
Description: bacterial SSU rRNA
Rfam family: Bacterial small subunit ribosomal RNA
Source: RNAcentral
ACGGGAGUAGCAAUACAACUGGUGGCGACCGGCGCGACGGGUGAGUAACGCGUAUGCAACCUACCUAUCAGAGGGGAAUAACCCGGCGAAAGUCGGACUAAUACCGCAUAAAACAGGGGCACCGCAUGGUGAUAUUUGUUAAAGAAAUUCGCUGAUAGAUGGGCAUGCGUUCCAUUAGGUAGUUGGUGAGGUAACGGCUCACCAAGCCGACGAUGGAUAGGGGAACUGAGAGGUUGGUCCCCCACACUGGUACUGAGACACGGACCAGACUCCUACGGGAGGCAGCAGUGAGGAAUAUUGGUCAAUGGGCGGGAGCCUGAACCAGCCAAGUCGCGUGAAGGAAGAAGAAUCUAUGGUUCGUAAACUUCUUUUGCAGGGGAAUAAAGUGCAGGACGUGUCCUGUUUUGUAUGUACCCUGAGAAUAAGGAUCGGCUAACUCCGUGCCAGCCGCGGC